GAGGAAGUGCUCAUGCUAAAGCAAGCUUGUCGUGACCAACGUGAACCAGUGGAUGAAGGAGCAAAGGCACACUAAUGAGAAACUGGCACUCAAGAUCAAAGACCAGAGCAGGAAGAUCAUCCACCUGACAGCUGAGAGAGAUGAAGAAAGAGGCAGAGGAAGAAGAAAGCACUUCCUGACCACCUGCAGUGCAAGUCUGUGCCAGUCAGCGCCUGUGUCUGGAUCGAAGUCAAUGACUACAGAACGGUUUUCUGCAAACCAGCUGUCUCUUGGAUCACUGACACGAAGAGUUCUAGAAAAACAUGAUUAUCAAAUGAUGGCUGAUAAUUGACCUUACUACAGAUAAAUGACUGACAGCCCAAAUAACAAAUCAAAUCAAUUCUCAGACUUUUGUCUGUCAAACAAAAGUCGCCUGCACUUAACCAACUAAUACUAGUACUUACCUUUUUUUCUUUUUCUUUUCUAUCAUAUACAAAAAAAAAAAAAAAAAAACCCUGGCUACGUGUUCUGUACUAGACUAACUGAGACUUGUCAUAGCACUUGUAUACCGUUGUUGUUUUCUCGUUGAUCUGAUUGUUUCUACUGUUCUCAUUUGUAAGUCGCUUUGGAUAAAAGUGUCUGCUAAAUGAUUAAAUGUAAAUGUAAAUGUAAACUGACUGAAUUGUAGAUUGCAUGAACAACUAAACUUCUGAAUGAUUGUCCAAAAGCGAAACAUCUCUAUGUUUGCUCAAAGGAAUAGUAGAAUAUAGAUUUUCAAGGUUAAAGGCAGGUGCACAGACCCCAAGUAGAUCAUGCAUGUGAAUUUUGAUCUUUCUGUUGUUAAUGCCAUGCUAUACUGUCUGAGCUUCAGGAAAGCACAUAAAAAAUCUAUCUUUAAAAUUUGGAAAAAAAAUAUUUAAAACAAUGUUUAUAAUAUUCACAUUUUGUAAAAAGCAGAUGUUUUAAAAAUAUGUUAUGAGUUUUUUUUUUGUUGUUGUUUUGUUUUGUUUUAUCAUAUGUUCUCAUGUUUACUUUUUUGUAAUGUGUGAAAAGUAUUAAUGUUAAAGGUUUACUAUUUAUCCCUGAUUUUUUCUCAGAGUGUGAUUUUGGGUUAAUUGUAUUGAUUUAAUUUAGGAUCAAUUGACUCAGAACGUAAUUAUAUCCAGAAUUUUAACAUUAUACAAGUGAUAAAUAGCACUUGUUGUUCUUAAGGACAUUUACAUUCAUAGAAAAACACACACAAAAUGCAUUUGUCCUGUUUGCAUCUGCAGAAAGCGUCCAUUACAUAAUUUUCCUGUUUAUUAAUGUCAAUAUGUAUGACAACAACUGUCUGACUUCUUUACACUUGGCUAGAUUUUCCCUGGUAAUGUCACUAUUUUCUCAUCUUCUACCAUUAUAUUUAGUAUUUCGGCAUAAUAACCUGGAACAAAACCCUGUGCUUUCUGUUUUUUCUGCACAAUGAUUUGAGGUAUUUUAUUCCAAAGUCAUCAGGUACAUCAUUCGCAUGUACAUCACCUGUUUGAGAAGCAGCGGCAGUGGUUAAGUUAUUGCUGUCGUAAGGUCAGUUGGGUCACUAUACCUUGUUGAUACAGCUUAAACCAGUCUAAGAUGGUUUGCAUGGUCUAAGUUGAUUUGUGAUUAUCUCUCAGCCUGACCAGAUUGCAUGAACAACUAAACUUCUGAAUUAUUGUCCAAAAGCUAAACAUCUCUGUUUGCUCAAAGGAAUAGUAGAAUAUAGAUUUUCAAGGUUAAAGGCAGGUGCAGGUCAACUGGUCUUUUCAAGCCUGACCAGCCAAAAAAUAGCUAAAACCAGACUAGAAGACCAGUUAAGACUUUCUUGGUCAAGCAGCUUCACCGGCACUAGAGCAACAAAGAGCAUAAACAAACCUGAACCAGCAUGAGAAUUCAUGACUAAACUGAAGUAUUUAUCUGGAUACUCGUCUUAGAAAUGAUGAGAUCUCAUAUGUUGAUGAGACCUGAUUAUUUUCUGAAUAGCUCUGCACUAAGUAUCUGAUGCCCCUCGUGUUCAUUUAUAUACAGACAUCAGCUGCUGAUUUAUUUUUCUCUUUCAAAUUAAAUUUGCUGACAUGCAAUACUUCAUAUUUAAUGAACAUUCCGCUGUGAAUUUUGUGCCUAGUUACAUUUCAAGUUUACGGAGAUGAAUGAGAGUGUGAAUUCUAAUGGCAGGUAAAGUUUCAAUUCUGCUUCUGUCAUAGAUUGUGGUUUAGAAAAGUUAAAGGUAAGGCUUGUAUUUGUUUAUGAAUCAAUCAUAUAAUAAUGCCUCAUAUGACUGAUAGCCUAAUAUAAAACAUUUUAAUGGAUUUUACAUUGAAGGCAAUAUAAGUGACGUGUCAUAUCAGUCAGCCAGCAACAUUAAUAGCACUUUUAAAUGAUUAAAUAAUGCUGUGCCUUAUUCACUGUCAUCAUGCAUUUCCUAUAAACACAAAUCAGUCAAUAAAAGUGAUAUAUGUUUGUAUUUGGCA
This is a long non-coding RNA of Cyprinus carpio (common carp), 2462 nucleotides long. NCBI's taxonomy places the organism in Eukaryota, Metazoa, Chordata, Actinopteri, Cypriniformes, Cyprinidae. The record is from Ensembl.